CCAACCCAAUGUGACGUUACCAAACUGUUGCCUCGGCGGGAUCUCUGCCCCGGGUGCGUCGCAGCCCCGGACCAAGGCGCCCGCCGGAGGACCAACCUAAAACUCUUAUUGUAUACCCCCUCGCGGGUUUUUUUUAUAAUCUGAGCCUUCUCGGCGCCUCUCGUAGGCGUUUCGAAAAUGAAUCAAAACUUUCAACAACGGAUCUCUUGGUUCUGGCAUCGAUGAAGAACGCAGCGAAAUGCGAUAAGUAAUGUGAAUUGCAGAAUUCAGUGAAUCAUCGAAUCUUUGAACGCACAUUGCGCCCGCCAGUAUUCUGGCGGGCAUGCCUGUCCGAGCGUCAUUUCAACCCUCGAACCCCUCCGGGGGGUCGGCGUUGGGGAUCGGCCCUCCCUUAGCGGGUGGCCGUCUCCGAAAUACAGUGGCGGUCUCGCCGCAGCCUCUCCUGCGCAGUAGUUUGCACACUCGCAUCGGGAGCGCGGCGCGUCCACAGCCGUUAAACACCCAACUUCUGAAAUGUUGACCUCGGAUCAGGUAGGAAUACCCGCUGAACUUAAGCAUAUCAA
This 563-nucleotide ribosomal RNA is filed under the name Trichoderma harzianum. RNAcentral describes it as "eukaryotic LSU rRNA". The stretch from base 187 to 340 matches the Rfam family "5.8S ribosomal RNA". The record is from RNAcentral. Lineage: Eukaryota; Fungi; Ascomycota; Sordariomycetes; Hypocreales; Hypocreaceae.